This 212-nucleotide long non-coding RNA is filed under the name Mytilus galloprovincialis (Mediterranean mussel). Lineage: Eukaryota; Metazoa; Mollusca; Bivalvia; Mytilida; Mytilidae. The record is from RNAcentral.
CUUGUGUAUAAUUCGGAGUUUAGUAUGACGUCCAUUAUCACUGUACUAUUAUGCAUAUUUUAGGGGCCAGCUGAAGGACACCUACGGGUGCGGGAAUUCUCGCUACAUUGAAGACCCAUUGGUUGCCUUCGGCUGUUGUUUGCUCUAUGGUCGGGUGGUUGUCGCUUUGACAUAUUCACCAUUUCCUUUCUCAAUUUUAUAUAAAAGUUUAA